RNAcentral lists this ribosomal RNA (412 nucleotides) under uncultured bacterium. RNAcentral's name for it is "bacterial SSU rRNA". It matches the Rfam family "Bacterial small subunit ribosomal RNA", at positions 28 to 444 of the family's 1533-position model. The record is from RNAcentral.
GAUUAACGCUGGCGGCAUGCCUAAUACAUGCAAGUCGAACGGAAGCAGCAAUGCUUUAGUGGCGAACGGGUGAGUAACACGUAGGGAACCUACCUAUACGACGAGGAUAACUACUGGAAACGGUAGCUAAAACUGGAUAGGAUCAAUUGAGGCAUCUUGAUUGAUUUAAAGAUCCUUCGGGAUUACGUAGAGAUGGCCCUGCGGCGCAUUAGCUAGUUGGUGAGGUAACGGCCCACCAAGGCGACGAUGCGUAGCCGACCUUAGAGGGUGAUCGGCCACACUGGAACUGAGAGACGGUCCAGACUCCUACGGGAGGCAGCAGUGGGGAAUAUUGGGCAAUGGAGGAAACUCUGACCCAGCAACGCCGCGUGAAUGAAGAAGGUCUUCGGAUUGUAAAGUUCUGUGACCCGGG